UACAGAGACCCCAAGCGUUAUCCGGAAUCAUUGGGCGUAAAGGGUGUGUAGGUGGCGUUACUAGUCUUCUGUCAAAGCCCGGGGCUCAACCCCGGAUCUGCAGAAGAAACGGUAAUGCUCGAGGAUGCGAGAGGUGAAUGGAACUCAUGGAGUAGGGGUGAAAUCCGUUGAUAUCAUGGGGAACACCGAAAGCGAAGGCAAUUCACUAGUGCAUUCCUGACACUGAGACACGAAAGCGUGGGUAGCGAACGGG
Molecule: ribosomal RNA, 253 nt
Filed under: uncultured prokaryote
Description: partial 16S ribosomal RNA
Rfam family: Bacterial small subunit ribosomal RNA
Source: RNAcentral